Molecule: ribosomal RNA, 1403 nt
Filed under: Brevibacterium casei
Lineage: Bacteria; Bacillati; Actinomycetota; Actinomycetes; Micrococcales; Brevibacteriaceae
Description: bacterial SSU rRNA
Rfam family: Bacterial small subunit ribosomal RNA
Source: RNAcentral
UGCAGUCGAACGCUGAAGCCUGGUGCUUGCACCGGGUGGAUGAGUGGCGAACGGGUGAGUAACACGUGAGUAACCUGCCCCUGACUUCGGGAUAAGCCCGGGAAACUGGGUCUAAUACCGGAUACGACUGCCGGACGCAUGUCUGGUGGUGGAAAGUUUUUUCGGUUGGGGAUGGGCUCGCGGCCUAUCAGUUUGUUGGUGAGGUAAUGGCUCACCAAGACGACGACGGGUAGCCGGCCUGAGAGGGCGACCGGCCACACUGGGACUGAGACACGGCCCAGACUCCUACGGGAGGCAGCAGUGGGGAAUAUUGCACAAUGGGGGAAACCCUUGAUGCAGCGACGCAGCGUGCGGGAUGACGGCCUUCGGGUUGUAAACCGCUUUCCAGCAGGGAAGAAGCGCAAGUGACGGUACCUGCAGAAGAAGUACCGGCUAACUACGUGCCAGCAGCCGCGGUAAUACGUAGGGUACGAGCGUUGUCCGGAAUUAUUGGGCGUAAAGAGCUCGUAGGUGGUUGGUCACGUCUGCUGUGGAAACGCAACGCUUAACGUUGCGCGUGCAGUGGGUACGGGCUGACUAGAGUGCAGUAGGGGAGUCUGGAAUUCCUGGUGUAGCGGUGAAAUGCGCAGAUAUCAGGAGGAACACCGGUGGCGAAGGCGGGACUCUGGGCUGUAACUGACACUGAGGAGCGAAAGCAUGGGGAGCGAACAGGAUUAGAUACCCUGGUAGUCCAUGCCGUAAACGUUGGGCACUAGGUGUGGGGGGCAUUCCACGUUCUCCGCGCCGUAGCUAACGCAUUAAGUGCCCCGCCUGGGGAGUACGGUCGCAAGGCUAAAACUCAAAGGAAUUGACGGGGGGCCCGCACAAGCGGCGGAGCAUGCGGAUUAAUUCGAUGCAACGCGAAGAACCUUACCAAGGCUUGACAUACACCCGGACCGUCCUGGAAACAGGUCCUCUUCUUUGAAGCUGGUGUACAGGUGGUGGCAUGGUUGUCGUCAGCUCGUGUCGUGAGAUGUUGGGUUAAGUCCCGCAACGAGCGCAACCCUCGUUCUAUGUUGCCAGCAUGUGAUGGUGGGAACUCAUAGGAGACUGCCGGGGUCAACUCGGAGGAAGGUGGGGAUGACGUCAAAUCAUCAUGCCCUUUAUGUCUUGGGCUUCACGCAUGCUACAAUGGCUGGUACAGAGAGAGGCGAACCCGUGAGGGCAAGCGAAUCCCUUAAAGCCAGUCUCAGUUCGGAUCGUAGUCUGCAAUUCGACUACGUGAAGUCGGAGUCGCUAGUAAUCGCAGAUCAGCAACGCUGCGGUGAAUACGUUCCCGGGCCUUGUACACACCGCCCGUCAAGUCACGAAAGUCGGUAACACCCGAAGCCGGUGGCCUAACCGUAAGGAGGGGGCCGUCUAAG